Pelobates cultripes (western spadefoot toad) is the source of this 212-nucleotide non-coding RNA. Lineage: Eukaryota; Metazoa; Chordata; Amphibia; Anura; Pelobatidae. The record is from the annotation of a GenBank genome assembly.
CUCACACACCCAUCAUCCAGCACUCACUCACACAUCAUCCAGCACUCACUCACACACCCAUCAUCCAGCACACACUCACACACCCAUCAUCCAGCACACACACACCCAUCAUCCAGCACACACACACACACACCCAUCAUCCAGCACACACACACCCAUCAUCCAGCACUCACACACACACCCAUCAUCCAGCACACACACACACAUCAUCC